UCGGGUUGUAAAGCACUUUUGUCCGGAAAGAAAACUUCUGCCCUAAUACGGUGGGAGGAUGACGGUACCGGAAGAAUAAGCACCGGCUAACUACGUGCCAGCAGCGCGGUAAUCGUAGGGUGCGAGCGUUAAUCGGAAUUACUGGGCGUAAAGCGUGCGCAGGCGGUUCGUUAAGACAGAUGUGAAAUCCCCGGGCUUAACCUGGGAACUGCAUUUGUGACUGGCGAGCUAGAGUAUGGCAGAGGGGGGUAGAAUUCCACGUGUAGCAGUGAAAUGCGUAGAGAUGUGGAGGAAUACCGAUGGCGAAGGCAGCCCCCUGGGCCAAUACUGACGCUCAUGCACGAAAGCGUGGGGAGCAAACAGGAUUAGAUACCCUGGUAGUCCACGCCCUAAACGAUGUCAACUAGUUGUUGGGUCUUCAUUGACUUAGUAACGUAGCUAACGCGUGAAGUUGACCGCCUGGGGAGUACGGUCGCAAGAUUAAGACUCAAAGGAAUUGACGGGGACCCGCACAAGCGGUGGAUGAAUGUGGAUUAAUUCGAUGCAACGCGAAGAACCUUACCUACCCUUGACAUGGUCGGAACCUGCUG
This 590-nucleotide ribosomal RNA is filed under the name uncultured Burkholderia sp. RNAcentral's name for it is "bacterial SSU rRNA". It matches the Rfam family "Bacterial small subunit ribosomal RNA", at positions 418 to 1002 of the family's 1533-position model. The record is from RNAcentral. Lineage: Bacteria; Pseudomonadati; Pseudomonadota; Betaproteobacteria; Burkholderiales; Burkholderiaceae.